CUAAGAAAUUUUGAAAAAAAAUCACCGGCAAACUAUAUUAACAGAUUAAUUUUCAAAUCUAAUAUAUCAAGCUAUUAUAGAAUAUAUAAGUGCAUACUUGAAUUAUAAAUGUAUGCCUAGUAUAUAUUCACCAGUUCGGUCAAAAAAUCAUCUAAUUCUAGAACAUCAAAACAAAUUACUUAUUUCACCAGUUCGGGUAAUAUUUGAAUCCAAACGGGUAAUAUCCGAAUCUGAAUAGAUUUCUGAAGAUAACCAAACAUAAGUAUACUUAACCCUAUAUUUCUAGUUUACUUCUCUCAUUUUAUUCAAAAUAUUUAUAUUAAUGAUGCUUAUUGCUCAAAAAUAGAUAAUAUACAUAAAAUUAAGGACAAAAUUAUUCGCUACUCACUUAAAAUAUAUAUCAAGCUCUUGUUUCUUGCAUUAACAAAAGUUGCAUCUAAAAUUUCAAAAAAAAACUAAACUAGUGUCUUUCUAUUUUUAAAGUUUUAUCUCCAAACCUAUUAAUAGUUUAAUUUUUUA
This 519-nucleotide long non-coding RNA is filed under the name Brassica napus (rape). RNAcentral's name for it is "long non-coding RNA (BNAP_LNC017346)". Lineage: Eukaryota; Viridiplantae; Streptophyta; Magnoliopsida; Brassicales; Brassicaceae. The record is from RNAcentral.